Zootermopsis nevadensis is the source of this 2053-nucleotide non-coding RNA. The record is from RefSeq and is a predicted model, not a curated record. Lineage: Eukaryota; Metazoa; Arthropoda; Insecta; Blattodea; Termopsidae.
CGCUGUUAAUCUAAAAGUCGGUUACGUACGUGAGGUGGUGUAGCAGUCCCGUCUGAUAGACUGAGCUAUUUAGUGUUGCGUCCCGAAGCGUUGCUUGAAGCUCCUACUGUCACUGACCGUUUGUCUGGAAUUAGCUAACUCUUACAGGCCUUCAGUCCACGUCUGUGCGUGACCACUUGCAGGUUGAUACAGCUUCUAUCGGCCAUGUAUCCACCCAUUUCAUGCACUGUGUGUAAAGAACGGAUAAUAGCCGCUUCUCGUCCAGAGACUCCCAGAUGCAGUCGUUGUUUCUAGGUCUCAUUAAAACAGCAUUUGUCUCGUGAACUGAGUCCCAAGUCAUCCAGCCAGUAGCCAGUCGCUGGUAUCAGGGCUUACAGUUAGGACAAAUACCUCUUCGUACGAACAGACGACUCUCACGUGUUCUGUCAGUGAUACUGGAUUUCAACAAAUGGAAACUGUCUGUGCUUUGAGAGGGUUUGGUGUACAAUCUCUCCCUCGACUGUCAAGAUUGCAGCUGGGAUUCAUCACCGGCUGCCUCCAGUCACGUUACCAUAUCUGCGUUCUCGUCUGGCUGACUCUGAUGUAGGGAAGUUGUUGUGUGGACCUAUCGCCAUCUUAAUCGCAUUUCCAGAUGCUACAGUGGCAUGCGUGGGAAGUGUAGAAAUACCGGAAACAAGAUAAAUCAGACCCUGAUGAUGGAGGCAGCAAGUACUUUUGAAACGUCGAUAAAGACAAUGUCAGACAACAUGUCGCAACAUCCUAAAAUACAAUCAUAUUUGUUCUCGACGCCGUGAGAGUGCAGCACAAAAUGGAUCUGUAUCUGCAAAAAUAUGAAGAUCACAAAUACUCGUAGAAAGGAAUUAUUAUUGGCAAAUUUUAUUUGAAAAUGCAUAUAUUGUAUUUUAGUAAACCUUUCUACUCUUGUAAUAUUUGAGGUUUUCACAGUGGUGAGUAUGAAAAUUUCUGUCUUCUGGGUUGUUGCGCUGUGUAGUAUGGCAGAUGUUUACCAACGUUUCUGAGGUCAUACUGCCUCCGUCAUCAGGGUCAUCUUAUUUGAGGUUCUGUUAAACUUCUAGUAAGGUUUGACACGUAUACAUAAAACAACGUAAUUUAAGUAUGACUCGAAGUUUACAAAUUCCCCCACAACUAUUCCAGUGGCAUUAUCUUGCCGUUCACACAACAGACCUUUGUUAGAAUUACUUUCUGGCUGAGAAUUGUUCAAAGAGAACGCAUUUCGUUGUAUAUUUGAACACAGCACAUUUGUUACAAAUUAUAUCGUUCUAUUUCAGAGUUGUCUUCGAAGCAUUUUUCAAUGGGGUAUGGUUCAAUGCGAACUUCUCCUAUACCAGUUUGCUAGAAGAUUUUGCCUUGGUGUUUGUACCAAAAAUUUACGACAUCGAUAGUGCGAACACGAGAGCUUUAUUUAAUGUAGAUCUGCGCAUUCAUUUUACGACAGAUAAAGGAUAGAAGCGUACUGGACCAUCACCAUCUUCUCUCUUGUCCAGACAGGAGCUCAACUUUGUAUCUGAGAUAAGGUGAGCCAUUAACUGGGGACUGAUUGUGUAUUCAUUGAGUGAAACUUCUUGUAGCUUCAGGCUGUUGUAAAACCUGUAUCAUUUGUUUGUCAGUCGACUAUUAACCUCGUAAACAGUUGCUAGGUGAAUGCCCCCUCUUCAGGCAAUGUAGGCUACACGUGUUUUUACAUCGCGAUGUUGAGAAUUUGUUACGUCAUAUAAUGUGGUGUUAGGAAUGCACAUAUUGUUAAGUGCUGGUGUGCAGAGACCAUAUCAAAGAAGAUUAAAAUUUCAGUUGUAAAUUACAGUCUUUCAGAAAUAAAUUAUCAUGUAAAAGAUAUAUGUUAUGAUAUGAUUAGAAUUUAUUUAGGCAUAUUGCUUACAGUUGUACAAAUGAACCUGUUAGUUAUAUUAUUUAUAAUUUUCACACUUGAAAUCUUCAAAACCGACGUGUAAAAAUUACACGACCCAAGGCAAUUUGUCUGGACAUUAGAAAUUCGUUCUCAUAUUAUGACUUGCUCGUUGUCAUGACCGGAGUA